AUUUUCCACGUCUUCCCACGACUCAGAAAGUGAAGAAGUUCAGAACAGCGAAGAAGAAUAUAUCGAAGAGACCACUGACUAUGACAAUAAUCAUGAAUUUCUGAAAGACAUGCAAAGCUGGGCUAUAAAAUUUAAUAUACCUCACCUGGCCCUAAACGAACUCUUUACUUUUUUGAACAAAAGAUUAGGUAAUGUUUUACCCAAAGAUGCUCGUACUUUACUUCAUACAAACAAAGAAACGGUGCAUAUUACAACCUCAGAUCCAGGACAGUAUUGGCAUAACGGAUUGAUUAAAUGCCUAAAAAAUACACUGCAGGGCUGGAUUUGAAUACUUUACGAAAUACGAUUUCGUUAAAUGUAAACAUAGAUGGGUUGCCUGUAUACAAAAGUUCAAGACAUCAACUCUGGCCUAUUUUGUGUAACAUCUUUGAAAUUCCCCACAUACCUCCCUUUGUGAUUGGAAUUUAUGCGGGUGAAGGAAAACCAUCUGAUCUAAAUGCUUAUUUAGAGUCUUUUGUGAAAGAAAUGAACGAACUUGAAGAAUAUGGAUUAGAUACAUCGUUGGCGCCAAAUGAAUCUAAAAUCAAAGUCAAAUUAAGAGCCUUCAUUUGUGAUUCACCAGCAAGAGCCUUGAUUAAAGGUGUCACAAAUUUUAAUGGAAAGCAUGGCUGUCUGAAAUGUACGGUGAUUGGCGAAUACUCACAUAAAUCAAAUACUGUAACAUUUCCUAAGUCCAAUUGUCCUAAAAGAAACGAUAAAGAUUUUCGUGCUAAAAAAUAUGAAGAACACCAUAAGCAUGAUUCUCCGUUAUUGAAACUAAACAUAGAUAUGAUAGAGGAUUUUCCUGUGGCAGACUCAUUACACCUAAUAGACCUUGGCUUGAUGAAGCGGUUGUUGAUUGGAUGGCGUGACGGAAAGUUGGGAAAAUACCUAACCAAAUGGAGUGCUCGUGAAAUUGAUAUUGUCAAUAGCUUUUUACUGAAUUGUCAAAUGCCCAAAGAAAUUCACAGAUCAAUGAGAUCUGUAGAUGUUUUGGCCCA
This is a long non-coding RNA of Helicoverpa armigera (cotton bollworm), 1040 nucleotides long. RefSeq lists it as uncharacterized. The record is from RefSeq and is a predicted model, not a curated record. The transcript has 3 exons. NCBI's taxonomy places the organism in Eukaryota, Metazoa, Arthropoda, Insecta, Lepidoptera, Noctuidae.